GCUGGGGUGUAGCUCAGUGGUACAGCAUGUGUUUAACAUACUUGAGGCCCUGGGUUCCAUUCCCAGCCUCAGCA
This 74-nucleotide transfer RNA is filed under the name Marmota monax (woodchuck). RNAcentral describes it as "tRNA.Val". It matches the Rfam family "tRNA". Rfam says of the family: Transfer RNA (tRNA) molecules are approximately 80 nucleotides in length. The record is from RNAcentral. Lineage: Eukaryota; Metazoa; Chordata; Mammalia; Rodentia; Sciuridae.